This 217-nucleotide unclassified non-coding RNA is filed under the name fungal sp. RNAcentral's name for it is "partial internal transcribed spacer region". The stretch from base 1 to 46 matches the Rfam family "Eukaryotic small subunit ribosomal RNA", at positions 1786 to 1831 of the family's 1831-position model. Lineage: Eukaryota; Fungi. The record is from RNAcentral.
AAGUCGUAACAAGGUCUCCGUUGGUGAACCAGCGGAGGGAUCAUUACCGAGUACUAUAACUCAUAACCCUUUGUGAACCUUCAUACCUGUUGCUUCGGCGGCGCGCCUCGCGGGGCGUGCCCGCCGGCAUUAUCAGAAUCUCUGUUCGAACCCGACGAUACUUCUGAGUGUUCUAAGCGAACUGUUAAAACUUUCAACAACGGAUCUCUUGGCUCCA